GUUUGGGGGUCAAACCUCAAAUUUUGGGGGGGUUUUCAGGGUGGGGGAGGGUCCCAGCCCUGGAUUUGGGGGGGUCCCCGCCCCAAAAACCGCGAAGUAUUCGGCCCCGAAUUUGGGGUUUUUAGCCCCAAAAAAAAAAAAAAAAAAAAAAAAUCGGCCCUGGAGAGGGGGCGUGGCCAAGGUGAAGCCCCGCCCCUCGGCCGGAGGCGGAGUCAGCGUGGGCACUUCCGGGUUCGGCCCCUCCCCCCUGCGCGCGAUUGGCGGAGGUGGCACCGGGGGGGUGACCGAGGUGACCUCGAGCGGGGGUGAAAACGCUCAGUUUGCAGUGGAUUUUAGGAUGAAAAAAGCGGAUUUUAGGGAUCCGUGGGGCGACUCCAGGGGUCCCCGCCGGGGGGGUCACUCCGGCCCCUCCCCCCACGCCGG
Catharus ustulatus (Swainson's thrush) is the source of this 423-nucleotide long non-coding RNA. RefSeq lists it as uncharacterized. The record is from RefSeq and is a predicted model, not a curated record. The transcript has 5 exons. NCBI's taxonomy places the organism in Eukaryota, Metazoa, Chordata, Aves, Passeriformes, Turdidae.